This 664-nucleotide ribosomal RNA is filed under the name Alteromonas sp. RNAcentral describes it as "bacterial SSU rRNA". It matches the Rfam family "Bacterial small subunit ribosomal RNA", at positions 111 to 777 of the family's 1533-position model. Lineage: Bacteria; Pseudomonadati; Pseudomonadota; Gammaproteobacteria; Alteromonadales; Alteromonadaceae. The record is from RNAcentral.
UAAUGCUUGGGAACUUGCCUUUAGGAGGGGGAUAACAGUUGGAAACGACUGCUAAUACCGCAUAAUGUCUACGGACCAAAGGGGGCUUCGGCUCUCACCUAAAGAGAGGCCCAAGUGAGAUUAGCUAGUUGGUAAGGUAAAAGCUUACCAAGGCGACGAUCUCUAGCUGUUCUGAGAGGAAGAUCAGCCACACUGGGACUGAGACACGGCCCAGACUCCUACGGGAGGCAGCAGUGGGGAAUAUUGCACAAUGGGGGAAACCCUGAUGCAGCCAUGCCGCGUGUGUGAAGAAGGCCUUCGGGUUGUAAAGCACUUUCAGUUGUGAGGAAAGGUUGGUAGUUAAUACCUGCCAGCUGUGACGUUAACAACAGAAGAAGCACCGGCUAACUCCGUGCCAGCAGCCGCGGUAAUACGGAGGGUGCGAGCGUUAAUCGGAAUUACUGGGCGUAAAGCGCACGCAGGCGGUUUGUUAAGCUAGAUGUGAAAGCCCCGGGCUCAACCUGGGAUGGUCAUUUAGAACUGGCAGACUAGAGUCUUGGAGAGGGGAGUGGAAUUCCAGGUGUAGCGGUGAAAUGCGUAGAUAUCUGGAGGAACAUCAGUGGCGAAGGCGGCUCCCUGGCCAAAGACUGACGCUCAUGUGCGAAAGUGUGGGUAGCGAACAGGA